UACCAGCUCUCCGAGUGGUGUGGAUGUUUAUUGGGCCUAAAGCAUCCGUAGCUGGCUGGACAAGUCCCCUGUUAAAUCCACCGAUUUAAUCGUUGGUGUGCGGGGGAUACUGUUCGGCUAGGGGACGGGAGAGGCCGACGGUAUUUCCGGGGUAGGGGUGAAAUCCUAUAAUCCCGGGAAGACCACCAGUGGCGAAGGCUGUCGGCUAGAACGCGCCCGACGGUGAGGGAUGAAAGCGGGGGGAGCGAACCGGAUUAGAUACCCGGGUAGUCCCAGCUGUAAACGAUGCAGGCUAGGUGUUUGGGCGGCCACGUGCCGCUCUAGUGCCGCAAGGAAGCUGUUAAGCCUGCCGCCUGGGGAGUACGGCCGCAAGGCUGAAACUUAAAGGAAUUGGCGGGGGAGCACCACAAGGGGUGAAGCUUGCGGUUU
This 429-nucleotide ribosomal RNA is filed under the name uncultured archaeon. RNAcentral's name for it is "bacterial SSU rRNA". It matches the Rfam family "Archaeal small subunit ribosomal RNA", at positions 474 to 903 of the family's 1478-position model. The record is from RNAcentral.